AACGAACGCUGGCGGCAGGCCUAACACAUGCAAGUCGAACGCUCUAGCAAUAGAGAGUGGCAGACGGGUGAGUAACGCGUGGGAACCUUCCCAAUGGUGCAGAAUAGCCCAGGGAAACUUGGGGUAAUACUGCAUAAGCCCUUCGGGGGAAAGAUUUAUCGCCAUUGGAUGGGCCCGCGUCGGAUUAGCUAGUUGGUGAGGUAAUGGCUCACCAAGGCAACGAUCCGUAGCUGGUUUGAGAGAAUGACCAGCCACACUGGGACUGAGACACGGCCCAGACUCCUACGGGAGGCAGCAGUGGGGAAUCGUGGACAAUGGGCGCAAGCCUGAUCCAGCCAUGCCGCGUGAGUGACGAAGGCCUUAGGGUUGUAAAGCUCUUUUGCCGGGGACGAUAAUGACGGUACCCGGAGAAUAAGUCCCGGCUAACUUCGUGCCAGCCGCCGCAGUAA
RNAcentral lists this ribosomal RNA (449 nucleotides) under uncultured bacterium. Its description in RNAcentral is "partial 16S ribosomal RNA". It matches the Rfam family "Bacterial small subunit ribosomal RNA", at positions 29 to 523 of the family's 1533-position model. The record is from RNAcentral.